Long non-coding RNA from Cajanus cajan (pigeon pea), 2030 nucleotides. RefSeq lists it as uncharacterized. Lineage: Eukaryota; Viridiplantae; Streptophyta; Magnoliopsida; Fabales; Fabaceae. The record is from RefSeq and is a predicted model, not a curated record.
UUCUCUUUCUCCAGAUUUUAUCUCAGGAGCCUUGAAGGGUUUUGGGUGGAGAACACGAGAAUGGAAACGAAACUCACAAGAACCGUAAUUUGCAAUGUUUCUUUUCUCCUCGCGAAACCCAAAGCUGCCUCCUGUUCUUCCGAAAAGAUCCUGUGUGUAUGAUGGUAACUUGGAUUCAUGAGUAACUGAGAUUCCUGUUUCUGGACUUAUUCAUAGUGUUAGGUGGUGGACCCAAACUAAGGUUAUGUUGCCCAGUGUGUUGUCCUUGUGUUUGCCAAUGAUAUUGCAGAGGAGUUGGUUGCAAGUGUUCUCAAUGAGCAACCUGAUCAAUAAACAAGGACUGAAAAUAAUGAGAGAAACCACGAAUGUAUGCAGAUAGAUAACCUUAUGGAUUCACACAUUGACAGAGAGGUACCAAAUUUUUUUUUUUUUUUCAAAAGGAGAAAAACAAAUAAAGAACCUGCAGAUACCCAAGUGUCAACAAGAAUUUCACCACCUGCUGCAUCAAAAGGAAAUUUGCAAUUGUCCAGCCAUAUCUGCUGUGAUCUGCGACUCCAACAAUAAAAGCCUUUUUGCCUAAACAUGAUAUUGAUUUCAGUGGAGCACCAAUUUCCUCAUAAUCUAUGACUACAUCUAUGCCCAGAAUAUCAAAAUAUCUUGACAGUUAACAUGAAAGAAAGAAAACACUUAGUUUUAAAAAAAGUUAUAGAGAUAAACUUAGAUAUGGAAUUUUGCCUGCCUAAUUUCUUUCUUUUUAAUAUAGGAAUUUUAUUUCUUACAAAUAAUCAAAAAAAGGUGAUUUUGGAGUUUGACUACCUAGCUGUAGUAGCUAUUAGAAGAACUGGUUAAAAGCAGAGAGAGAGAGAGAGAGAGAUAUGUCUUUAACCAAUUUGCUUAUAUUUAUAAAGAAGCAGCAGCAUAAUAGAAGUAAGAGUGUAAAUGUAAGAUAGAAUUUUCACUUAUACUUGUGUCAGGGGUAUGUUAGAAUUUUUGUUCUGCUUUCGUUAGUUUUUAUGAUGUAUGGGUGGCAUAAUAGAAGUAAGAGUGUAAAUGUAAGAUAGAAUUUUCACUUAUACUUGUGUCAGGGGUAUGUUAGAAUUUUUGUUCUGCUUUCGUUAGUUUUUAUGAUGUAUGGGUGGCAUAAUAGAAGUAAGAGUGUAAAUGUAAGAUAGAAUUUUCACUUAUACUUGUGUCAGGGGUAUGUUAGAAUUUUUGUUCUGCUUUCGUUAGUUUUUAUGAUGUAUGGGUGGCAUAAUAGAAGUAAGAGUGUAAAUGUAAGAUAGAAUUUUCACUUAUACUUGUGUUUGGGGUAUGAUAGAAUUUUUGUACUACUCUAGUUAGUUUUUGUGAUGUAUGGGUGGGAAUAGUUGAUACAUAUUUUCAUUGUAUUUAAUUGUAAUAAGAACUCAUUUAUAUUUCAGAAGAUUAUAGGUCUUUAUAUUUUAUGGUGAUAAUAUAUUCUAAUAAACACGAAAAAUUUACUCUCAUUUUUAUAACAACAAAUAAAUUAAUAUUUAGUAAAUGGUUGUGUCUAGUGUAAUAGGGUGUUACAAUAUUCCUUUGCACAGUAUGUUUGUCAACAAAGUGUUGACAUUGCCACUAGUCAUUCCUAACUAGAGUUGUCAUAAAACACAUAAUUUGUGUUAUUACUAUGGUAUUUUUUAUUGUAAUUGCAAAAGCAAUGCGGAGCCAAUACAUUUUUGCAUUUGGAGACAUAUGUACGUUUAGGAAGCAUAUUUUGAAUAUUGUCAUAGCUGGUGUUCAAAAGUAGAAUAUGUUGCAGCAGAAUAUUCGGAUAAACAAGAAAAUGUUGAAGUCUAUGCAUCUUGAUCACUGGUUCUACCUGUUGGUACCAUAAGAGGAAGUUCUUAUCAUCGAAUUUCUCAAAGAUUGUAUGAUAAACCGUAAGUGGAGCUGUGGAAGGGGGUGGAGGAGGUUGAUCAGCCAUGCUUGGAUCGUUCAAGCUCUUUAUAUUAUGUUAGAGUAGAGAAAAAAAAAAAAGGAUUGCAAACCGAAUGUGAGAAAAUGAU